Sturnus vulgaris (Common starling) is the source of this 6578-nucleotide non-coding RNA. NCBI's taxonomy places the organism in Eukaryota, Metazoa, Chordata, Aves, Passeriformes, Sturnidae. The record is from RefSeq and is a predicted model, not a curated record.
UUUUGAAUUUCUUUCUGAAUAGAAAUCUAUGUUAGAUUGAGAGAAUAUCAGUUAAUAAAUGGAAGGCUAUCACAGUCUAUGGAAAGUCUAUGGCAUUUGGAAGAGAAAUAGUUUUAUGUACUUGUUUUAGUUUUCAAAGUAUGUCAGUAGAUUGAAAAUAGUAUCUUGGUGACUGCUCCUGCAUAGUCUGUGAUUAUCUGGAUUUUAAGAUCGAGAAGUACUUUUUUUCCAAGAGCAUCAGGGGUUAAAGAAAAAGACAUCAUAAAGAGCAUGUUUUAAGUACAAGAAUCAGAUGGAUCAUUAUUACUUUCUGACUUCCUUAAUUUCUCUCACUCUAAAACAGUAUUUCCUCAUCAUUGCUGUUGUGAAUCAAGAGCGAAGGACUGCAGAAAUAACUGUUGUCUGAGGACAAGGAGCUUGGCUGAAGGGAAGAACCUGCACUAACCCUGGAAUUAUUGUCUCUGUCUUUUCCUCUCUGUUUUGUUGAAAGAGAAGUCCAAGAAAACUGCUGGUACUAACAGAAGAUGAAAAUAUGAUUUUUGCUAACAUCAUAUAUUAUCCAAGCAAAUCUGUUCUGUGAAAGGUAGUUUUUUUCAUUGUUUUGAAAUAAAGAAUCAGUGAAUUGUUCUUGAAGGAGUAUUGUUUCAGACUUUUCUUGCCUCUAUCACUGCUGCCCCACCCCUACUUUUCCUUUUCUACUUUGUCUGUCUUUAGGGAUCUUAAUAUUGAUGCUAGCUGCAAAUGGUUGUUAAACAAAUUUUCUUCAGUCCUUAAGCAUAGCUGCUUCAUUUGAGUUGAUGUAACGCAAGAAUAAUCUCUGCUGUGAGGCUAGAGGCCAUACCCAGCUAUAGCAGUAUUGAUACUGAUUUUCUGGCUCCCACAUUUCAUUGCAAAUUUUAUUUAGAGGUAGUAAGUUUUCUUUGCUGAGAAACUGUAGCAGCAGCAUCUACUAAAGUUGUGUUUGGUCUACUUAAAAGUUUUUAAAUAGUAUUCCGUUUGUGAACAUCUGACUUAGUUAAAUUGAACUUUGACUAUAAAACACUGUGGAUAUGACCAGUCACAGUAUUUGUUGAGAUGAUGUUAUCUGCAGCAGCAGAGAAGAAAGCAGGUGAAUAAAAUAUAGACGGUAUUCCAACAUUGAAUCAGUUAAAAAAGAAACCUAACUGGAUAAGUUAGGUAGAUUAUACUAGUUUUACAGAUAAUUCUAGGCAGUAAGGCUGAAAAGGAGGUGAAGUUAGUUAUGUGAGUGGCUGGAGAGAUGUGAUGACUUAGUGUAAGUUUUAGACUGUCACAUCAGCAAGAUUCUCAGUCCAAAAUCCAGUAUCUUGGCUGAGACACUGGGGGAGCUGGGACACUGAGCAUCUCUUGGCUGCUGGGAAUGCAAAUGAUUCCAAGAGAGGGAUGUAAACCCUGUAAAAGCUUUUCCUUUGAAGUUAGGUAAAAUAUGGACUUUUACAACUGUUUAAUUAAGUUAUUUCAAUUUGUUGUAAUUCUUAACUUCAAGGAAAUAAAAAAUACACAGAACCAAUUGUAGUGAUGUCUAAAUUGGCACUUAAUAAAUGCUGCUUAAUCCUUCCAGAGUGGAUAAUAGCCAACUGCACUCUGCUUAGUGUCUGAGGACCUAGUGCAUCCUUUUUUACUCAAAGAAAAGUAGCAUAAAAAUAGAUGUUUGUACAAUACAUCUGUGCUAAGAAACCCUCAAAUCAAUGGGUACAACCAUUGUGCCAAUGGUACAAAGCUGACUGAUGGCUGUUCCAAAUGAUCAAUCCUUUCUUUUUUGAAUUUUUGUUUCCUUGUUGUGUAGCUUGGACCUUUUAUAUAAAGUAAGUAUUUAAACAUUUUUUUCUCUUAUAUACCCUUCUGAAUACAUCACGUGUGCAUUUUUCUUUCCAGCUAAUGCUGUUGUGUGAAUGAGGGGCAAGGCUUGCAGUGGCACACAGCCUUUUUAGAAAAUAGUUUGAAACUUGGUAGUUCUGUGUUGUGUCAGGCAAGAUGCUUCCCAUGAGUUUGUAUGAAGUGUUUUGCUACUGCAAAAAUAUAAGAAGGAAGGUGCAGCUGUCCCCACAAAAGCAAAAUCUGGAGCCUUACUGGUAUGUGGAAGUGUUGUCCCUGAGCAAGGCAGGGGCUUCUGGCUCAUGGUGAAUUGAGUUUGUUCUAUGCAGUGCAUUGAAUCUCUUGCCCUACCUUUGCUCUGAGUCAGUGCUUUGCAGGAAGUUAAGAGUUAAUAUAUCUUAUUAUGUAUUAUGUUAACAUAUCUUAUAAUGUAUCUUAUUUCUGUACAAAGCAAAUGCUGCCAUGUGAUUUGGAGUCCUAUCCCUCAUUUCCCCUCACUUUGAGCAGUGGUUUGCUGUAUCUUACUUUGUAAUUCUUGAAACGUCUUUAUGAUUGAUUUUUAUUUAAUAUGUGUUAGGCUUCAACCUCUCCCCAGUUUCCUUUUAACCUUGUCAGAUUUCUCUCUGGUAUUCCUCCUUCUUCUAUUUUGAAACCAUUAAACUCCUGUAAUAUAAAUUGACUUACACCUCAGCUUUGGUAAGUAUUUUUGAGAAACAUGGAGAAACUGAUGCAUGCAGAAAAUGUUGGACUUUUGGGGUCGGGGAGGGAGACCCUGGAUGUUCUGGGCAGAACUUUGAAGAUGGAGUCCUUGCAAACUUUCAGUCAUCUUGUAAGUUAUUCAACAUAAACUGUAUAAAGACUACAGCAAAGUUGGUAAGGGUUCUUUCAUUAUUUAUAGAAAUAUAUACUGGCAUAGCAGUACUAAUUAUCUAUAUAGUAUAUAUCUGUGUGUACUAUGAUGUAGACUGUCAUGUCCCCUGAAAAGAUGGCUGUUUUUUUCUCCAGUUAAGUGACAGUCAUAUAGCAUGCACUUAACCAUGUUCUUAAUUGUUUUGUAAUACAGGAGUGGAAUUAAUGUCCUCGUGUGCUUUGCUGAGUCAAGAUCUUGGUGAAUUCCUGUACUCAUGUUUCAUGCAGUUAACUCUCUACUGAUGUUCUUUCUGUUAAGAGUGAUCAAGUCACAAAGCAAUUAUACUCCCACAAGCUGUCCUUUAAUAACCUUUGUCAUUUGUCAAAGUACAUUAGGGCCUUGCAUAUUUUUACAGAGAAGCUACUGGUCUUCACGAAGUAAUAGUGUGUUCUGAUGUGCCAGCUCAUCUUCCUUGCCAAAUUGCUGUUGGUUCAGAGGGGAGCUCACUUCAGUUUAAAGAAAUAUCUUUUGUGUCUUUCUCUCAGACCAAAAGAUUUUCAAACGAGAUUAAAAUCUUAGUUAGCAGCAGUCAGCAAACAAUGCUCAUUUGAACCAACUCAGCCUUCCAGUCUGGCAAAGCUUAGAUUUUAAGCUAUUCAAUAAUCUUUGGAUAUGAAUGUAACUUGUAUUAAACUAGAAAAGGUAUAAUGAUCUUCAUAUGCUGAACUGUGACAGUGUUUUAAUAAGCAUGUAUUUAUGAUACUGCACCUGUAUGAGUAUUUUGGGACUUAUGGUACUGCUGUUUAUACUACAAAGUUGUAACUCAAUGUGAUCUCGUCUUCUCCACUUAUUUUGUUUCUUAAGUAAGUGUUAAAACUACAAGCAGUCAAGGUGUAUUCCUCCUUGUAAUUUACCGGCAUGAAGUAGAUAUUUGGGGUUGGCAUGUCCUUGAGUUACCUGCUAUAGGGGAAACUACAUGAAAGAAAAAGAGAGCAACUCCCUGAAAAACUAUUUGAUAUUUUGUGAACGGUCUAGUGUUAAGGAUUAAAAGAUAUGAUAAUUCUAUUGCAGUUGUGGUAAUUUAAGCAUAUAAAUUUCCCUUCAGUCCUGACAACCUCUUCAUCAGGUAGAGAGCUCUGAUGCUUAGAGUACAUAUUGCAUCUCUACUUCAGGGAUUGCUUUCUCCUAGGUAAAAAAUGUUGAAGCCUGGUAGAUCACUGCUUCUUUGUAGAUGUGCAUACACUCCAGUAUUCAGUUCUUGGGUACACAUGGAGACAGAUGAAGUAUGUAGAAGUCAGUCAAACAUGCUUUGCUGACCUCUGUCCGGAGCUGGGAUUUAUCAAUAUGUACAGUUUGUAGUGAAAGUAGGCUGUGACCUUUUGAAAUAUGCAAAUAUAUUUUACCAUUGUUACUAUGUAGAAAAUAAAGCUUUAACUCUAUAUUCCACAUUUCUAGCUGUUCUGGUUAAACUAGAGAUUCUGUAUCUUCAUAAUGAACAAUAUAAUUUUCAAGAGAAGCAUUUAAAUUAGCACAUAAGCAGCCAUUAUAAAAAGUUAACUAAUGAAAAUCUUUAGCAUUGUAGUCUCUGAUAUCUUUUUUGAAGCAAACAUUUUUCCUUGUAAAAAUAUUUCUAAAAAAUAUUUUUAAUUUAAAAUUAAAUUUUAAUUUAAUCCCAAUUGUGCUACUUUAUUAUUGUAACAAAGUGGGUAAACUCUCCAUUGGAGAGGUUUCAUUGUAAUGCUGAUGCUAUUUCUGUUCCAUGUAUUCUCCCUCUGUUGCUUGUGUGAAUAUGCACAUGCAGGUAUUUACACAUAUUCUGAUUCAUCUAGGCAUUCUCAUGGAAUUCUGUCCCAUUGUUGAGCUGUUAGCCUUGAUAUUGUAUGUGGCUUUUAUUUUUAUUUUACAAAUACCCAUCUGGCCACUGAAAACAAGUAUUUGUUGAUGGAUUAGAAAGGUUCAAGGUUCUUGAAGUUUGCACGUCCUGUGAAAAAGACAGGUCAAUUUUUUCUCUCUGGGCAUCUGUCUCUCAUAAGCUCAUAAAUUGUUCUUGAGGCUAGAUAGAAAAAAUACUGAAGGCAACAUCAUAUUUAAGAGUUUAAAUGUGCUGAUUGGAGUGUCUCAGAGUCUAACCUCAGGCAAAAGGUCUUGUGUUCAGUCUUUUUGACUGAUGUAGAGUGGUCCACUGUUAAUAAUUUAGUGUUGAAACCUACUAAAAGAAAAAUAGGAGACUCAUAACAUCAGUAUCACUGUUGAUUUUUCGUAGAAAAGAUGAAAUAGUUGUAUUUUGAUGUAUGUUUCCAUUCUUUACACACUUAACUGUUCUCUAAUGUAUCACUGCAUCUGAUUUUUUCCUUAAUGAGCAAUGUUUUUAUAUCUACAGAACACAGAGUUUGCCCUGCAGGACCUUAUGUUCAUUUUUAGUUUGCUCUAUUUGUGUAGUAAAUAAAAAAUGAGUAGCAUUGCCAUUAGCCCUUUUAUAUGCAUUACUCCUGACCAUGCUUGUGAGUAAUCUGCUAAAGAAUGUGCACGUUCUCAGUUUGUAGCAAAAUAGGGCCUGUAAUAAUUUCAUUUUUUGAAUCAGCCUAAAAUGCACAGCAACAGAAAGAACCUUUGUUUAAGCAAGGAUUUCGAUGGCUGCAAAAAUCAACAUGCUGUAGGUUUAGGUCCAGUCUUUGUCAGAUGUGAGCAUGUUGUACUUCACUCUCCCAUUUUUAGUAGGUAUGAGUGGUGAAAUGCAGGAUGGAUCAUCUCUAAAUUGUCUCCUGGAGUUCUAAAACUUGUUUGCUUUAAUAAAGGAUAAAUAUUUUGCAUUUUAGAACUUCAGAGUUCAAUUUUGGCAAUGAUGUGUAGGGUAAACAUUUCUUGUGUGACUUGAAGGAUUGUUCAGUGAGAACUGUUUCCUUAGCAAAACAUGACAUCAAAUGUGCACACAAAAAAGUUUUGAAAACUUAUUUUUAUUCUUUGGAAAUAGUGUAUUUUCUGAAAUAGUGUAUAGUUGUUAUAGAUUUUAGACGUUCUUCUGAGGGUAAAUAAUUAUGUAUGUAGUCAGUAGUUGGCAGAAGACUUUUAUUUUUUCAGAAAAUGUGAAUAUCAGAGAGUUGAACAGCUACUAUAGGAUGUGUAGCUCAUUCAAACUUCUAAGAGUGCAGAAGCAGUAGUGAGGAAAUGACCUUUUCUUUUAUAGAGUGCUAUGGUGCUGUUUAAAACUUGUCUGGGUUGACUUUCUGUAUUGUUUUUCUUCAUUAUGUUUCCCAGUAAGUACAGAUACAUCCUUGAUGGAAUCAUGAUAUUUUAUAAAUUAUUUAAGUAAGAUAGACUCUUUAGAAAAUAAUAUAAUUAUUCAACUGUACAACUUAAUAUCCAGCCUAUAUAUGGAAUAUAUAAUUAGAAUAACACUGAAGGUCAGAUUUUAAGUGCUUGUGUUCUAGAGCUAUGAAAAAAAUAUAAAAAUGAUAGUUAGGAUCAAAAUAGAUAUUAAACUCUUAAGCAUUUACUGUAUCUUUGGAAAUAGAAUGAACUUUGGUAGCAGCUGUUGUCUUGCUUACAUUUCGUGUUCACUAAAAUAAAGAUUUAUAAAAGUGAGCAUUUUAAACUCUUCUUAAUCUUCCUCAGAUCAUGUUAACCUGGUUUUCUUGUACUACUCUGAAAUUGAUGCUCAAACAGAGGAGAAGGGAGGGAUAAUUGGGCAAUCGCUGUGGCUUUGGAAAACACUGAUUUUGUCCCUGUUGAAGGGGUGGUGUUUUCCCUUCUAAUUGCCUCAGAAAUGUUACUGUCUGUCCCUGUGUUAAUCUGAUCAUCUGAGCUCUCUUCAGUUUUUUGUUGCUGUCCACUCCUGUUGGUUUUUUUCUACCUGCAGCUCAUAUGCUUUCUACCUCUCAUUAAAAUAUACUAAAAA